Molecule: long non-coding RNA, 540 nt
Filed under: Homo sapiens (human)
Lineage: Eukaryota; Metazoa; Chordata; Mammalia; Primates; Hominidae
Description: non-protein coding lnc-RAB11FIP3-2:2
Source: RNAcentral
UUUCCCACAGUCACCCUUGCGAUGGGACCCUCAGGGUCCUCUCUUCUCUUCCGAGCACCCACGGGAGGGGACUGUGCUGUCCCUGCUCUCCUAGGACAGGCCUCCCUCCUGUCCAGAUGGGGCCCACAGGGUCAGUUGCCUGAGACUGGCUCCAGCUCAAGAAAGGUUUUCUGAGUGAGCGCAGGGGAGCAGGAGGCUGGUGAGCAGCUCGCUUCCUGCCCUGGGUGCAGCUGGGCACCACUUCUGCCUUGGGCCUAAAGGCAUCAGUGAGGAGCAGGCGGGGCCUGGUAGGAGCCUGUGUUUCUAGCGGCACGCGUGACCCCAGGUGCCACGUGGGUGAGUGCGUGGGUGGGUGAGUGGCGAAGGAGCUGAGGUUGGCCCUGGCAGGUGUGCAGUCCUCACACAGAACGGGCAGGGCUCCUGUCAGAGCCAAACCAGCUCAGGGCCCAGUGCAAGCAGCUUCUGUCCCGUGGCACCUCCGCUAGUCGCCGCUCCCACCCAAGCCCUGCCCCGCCCUGACCCGCUCAGGGUUUGGCUACA